CGCUGUGCCAUGUAGUUUACUUUCCAACGUUUUCAUGCCAGUACUUUUUUCUCCACAGCCACCAGAACCUGGAAGCGUUUCAAGAGUGCGUAAGUUUUAAAAUCAGAGAUCACUCAGUCACUGUUGGUUGUGCAGCACACGACAAAGGUCAUUAGACCACCACGGCCGUGUAUAGAAGUUCAUGAUUAGAUGGAUGACUGUUGCCGUCUGCUCAGGGACUGCUGCAUGUGAUAGUGAUGUCCCCUUCUUGCCCCAGUUUUUCUUGUUCCUCUUCUGUCGUUAUCACUAUUUAACUAAGUUUAGUGAUUUCGGCUCUUUGAAAAGGAGAUUUAAAAAAAAACAAAAAAAAAAAACACGGGAAGUCCUCAGAUAGAAAUUGUUAACAGACAUAUAAUCUGUAUGCUGUAUAAAAUAAUACUGAAUCUAUAAAUCUCGCGUGAAUUUAUUGACAGGGGAUCUGACACUAACUCGACUGAAUCGCUUCUUUUCAAGGCAUUCUCUUUCAUUUUACUUUUAUGAAAGUUCCCAUUUCGACAGGCACUUGACAGGAAAGUUGAAGUCGCUCGUCCCCAAGAGGCAGCGCCAGUUUGGACGUCUGACCCCAAGAGGCAGCGUUUGAUAACUUGAGUUGUGAGGUCGUUCGUCCCCAGAGACCGAGUCAUUUAGUGAAUAACAUUUGUCCCCAAGUGGAGACGUCAGUUGUGUUUUGUUUGAUUGCUUAUACGAUUCAGAUUACUUAUGUGUGUGUAAAAGAUAUAUAUAUAUAAUUGAUUAUGGAACAUUAAUCCUCAGUUACUGGUAGUACAGUGAAAGCAGUGUUGUGCCGGAAUAUAAAAUUUAUUAUUUUUAUGUUUGAUCUUCAACCAAGAAAAGGAACUUUCUUUCAGAGCUGUGUUAAAAUUAGAUAUCUGAGAUAAUAAUAAGGUUUGAUUGAUGUAUUUUUUAUUAGUUGCUAUUAUAGUUGAGGAGUUCUCUAGACUAGGAGCUAACCUCACACACCUGCCUCUAGUCACAACAUUCCGUAACACUUCCUGUCCACAGUUUACCUCGAAGUGUUUACACCUAUAGGUGAUUAAUUUUCGCUUUAUGCAUGGAGACGAGAGAAAACUGAAGUACCCGGAGAAAACCCCCGACGGCCGACCUUCUGAACAGACGUCACAUAUAAAGUGUGUCCUGAAGCUAGAUCUGAACCCAUGACCUCUCUCUCUGUAGUGGUGCCGAACGAGUGUUUUAAACACUACACUAUCAGACGCUCUAAUGUGAACGGUGUGUGACAGCACUGAUCGUGUAGGUCAGUGACAGCAUUAGCAGACCACGUGGAUGAGACAGGCAAUUUGGUUUCUGUUCGUCUCAUAGUCUAGCUGCUGUCGGACAUUGAUAAAAACAGUUUGCCCGAGCUGUUAGCCAGUGAUCCCAGUUGAGUUCUUGCAGUACCGCCUCUUCUCAGUACAUCCUACUGCGACAACUUCACUGUACACUGUAAAGAACAUCUACUCAAGACACAACUUCAAACCGGUGUAUCUCUGCUAUAUUCAUUUUGAGUCGAUAUUUGUAUACUUGUGUAUUUUACUUUAUUUUGUGUUUGUAAAGUGAAUUGCGCCUAAAAUGUCUUUUAAAAGUAGGAGAAAUAC
Molecule: long non-coding RNA, 1631 nt
Filed under: Pomacea canaliculata
Lineage: Eukaryota; Metazoa; Mollusca; Gastropoda; Architaenioglossa; Ampullariidae
Description: uncharacterized LOC112558039
Source: RNAcentral